GACGAACCGUGCAAACGUUGUUCGGAAUCACUGGGCUUAAAGGGCGCGUAGGCGGGCAAGCAAGUCCGGGUGAAAUCUUUCGGCCCAACCGGAAAAGGGCCUUGGAUACUGCUUGUCUGGAGGGAGGUAGGGGCAGACGGAACUUCCGGUGGAGCGGUGAAAUGCGUUGAUAUCGGAAGGAACGCCGGUGGCGAAAGCGGUCUGCUGGACCUCUACGUGACGCUGAGGCGCGAAAGCCAGGGGAGCGAACCGGG
Molecule: ribosomal RNA, 254 nt
Filed under: uncultured bacterium
Lineage: Bacteria
Description: partial 16S ribosomal RNA
Rfam family: Bacterial small subunit ribosomal RNA
Source: RNAcentral